This 504-nucleotide ribosomal RNA is filed under the name uncultured bacterium. RNAcentral's name for it is "partial 16S ribosomal RNA". It matches the Rfam family "Bacterial small subunit ribosomal RNA", at positions 29 to 523 of the family's 1533-position model. The record is from RNAcentral.
AUUGAACGCUGGCGGCAGGCCUAACACAUGCAAGUCGAACGGUAGCACAGAGAGCUUGCUCUCGGGUGACGAGUGGCGGACGGGUGAGUAACGUCUGGGAAACUGCCCGAUGGAGGGGGAUAACUACUGGAAACGGUAGCUAAUACCGCAUAACGUCGCAAGACCAAAGUGGGGGACCUUCGGGCCUCACACCAUCGGAUGUGCCCAGAUGGGAUUAGCUAGUAGGUGGGGUAAUGGCUCACCUAGGCGACGAUCCCUAGCUGGUCUGAGAGGAGGACCAGCCACACUGGAACUGAGACACGGUCCAGACUCCUACGGGAGGCAGCAGUGGGGAAUAUUGCACAAUGGGCGCAAGCCUGAUGCAGCCAUGCCGCGUGUAUGAAGAAGGCCUUCGGGUUGUAAAGUACUUUCAGCGGGGAGGAAGGCGGUGAAGUUAAUAGCUUCACCGAUUGACAUUACCCGCAGAAGAAGCACCGGCUAACUCCGUGCCAGCCGCCGCGGUAA